Molecule: ribosomal RNA, 235 nt
Filed under: uncultured bacterium
Lineage: Bacteria
Description: partial 16S ribosomal RNA
Rfam family: Bacterial small subunit ribosomal RNA
Source: RNAcentral
CGGACGGGUGAGUAACGCGUGGGUAACCUGCCUCACACUGGGGGAUAACAGUUAGAAAUAGCUGCUAAUACCGCAUAAGCGCACGGUUCCGCAUGGAACAGUGUGAAAAACUCCGGUGGUGUGAGAUGGACCCGCGUCUGAUUAGCCAGUUGGCAGGGUAACGGCCCACCAAAGCGACGAUCAGUAGCCGGCCUGAGAGGGUGAACGGCCACAUUGGGACUGAGACACGGCCCAA